This is a long non-coding RNA of Toxotes jaculatrix (banded archerfish), 969 nucleotides long. RefSeq lists it as uncharacterized. The record is from RefSeq and is a predicted model, not a curated record. Lineage: Eukaryota; Metazoa; Chordata; Actinopteri; Toxotidae. The transcript is spliced from 2 exons.
AAGAUCACGUGAUGAGAGAAACUGUCCUCCUGUUAAAAACUGUCCUGCACAGGUCGGUGGAGCAGCAGCUGGUUAUAUCACAGGUACCUGUGACAUGUCAGGUGGGUUUCAUCAGAGAGCAGGGACUAAGCACCUGUACGGUCCUUCAGGUUGGAGGAUUUGUUGCAGUCAGAUAAGGUGAUUAAAAGAGCUUCAGUCUAAGUUCAGACGAUCGAUAUAAACUCAGGCUCCUUUAAAUCCAGAAUUUAAGUUUCUCUUGAUUUGAGUCUUAUGGAAUAAACCUUCCAUGAAGUCACUGACGGAGACUGGAGAAGUGUUGAUACAGACUCAUGCUGUGGACUCUGAGGGCGUCAAACCCUGAGAUUAAAUCUCACAGUCCGUCAGUGCUGUGCUCGAGCCUCUGAUGAUGAGAGAGUUCACCUUCAUCCACCCGCUGGACUCACGAGUCCAGCUGUGAAGCCGGAGAGUCGAAGUGUGUGAAACAUGCGUGUGUACCUGUGAUGGACUGUUUAUUUAAUGAGAAGGAAAAUGCUGGUGAAGAUUCAGGAGACUUCAUCUAAAGGAGCAGAGCAGGUUCCUGAUUCUACGUUUCUAAAAAGGCAGAAUCUGAUUUGAUUUUGAAACCGAACACGUGAAGCUAAGUCCUGAAGGAACACGUGAAACUGCACAAGGACGACGGGACAACAAUGAGGCGAAAGACAGAUUCUUUGAUUCUGGUCCUGCUGGGAAGCUGCUGGUCUGAGGUCAGGACGGACUCUGUCCAAACACCGUCUCUGUUUUCACUGAGCUUCAUCCACGGACAGACAAAGAAACAUCACACACACUGUGAUGAUGAAUCUGUGAAGUGUGGGUUUCUGGGAAAAGAUACCGGAACCUUUUAGGGACAGAAUCUGAACCAGACCACGUCCCAGUAUAAGAGAACUGGUUUCACUGGUUGUAAAUGCAUCAUUAAACAGGAUUUGAUGGGAA